Molecule: microRNA, 23 nt
Filed under: Heliconius melpomene (postman butterfly)
Lineage: Eukaryota; Metazoa; Arthropoda; Insecta; Lepidoptera; Nymphalidae
Description: Hme-Mir-2-P8_5p* (star (passenger))
Source: RNAcentral
CGCGAUAUUAUUCCUGUGAAUUU